RNAcentral lists this transfer RNA (68 nucleotides) under Neocrepidodera sp. BMNH 848121. RNAcentral describes it as "tRNA-Met". Lineage: Eukaryota; Metazoa; Arthropoda; Insecta; Coleoptera; Chrysomelidae. The record is from RNAcentral.
AAAAAGAUAAGCUAAUAAAGCUACUGGGCUCAUACCUCAUUUAUAAAGGUUUACUCCUUUUCUUUUUA